RNAcentral lists this small RNA (125 nucleotides) under Marmota monax (woodchuck). The record is from RNAcentral. Lineage: Eukaryota; Metazoa; Chordata; Mammalia; Rodentia; Sciuridae.
ACUGGGCACGGUGGCGCACGCCUGUAAUCCCAGCGGCUUGGGAGGCUGAGACAGGAGGAUCUCGAGUUCAAAACCAGCCUCAGCAAUGGUGAGGUGCUAAGCAACUCAGUGAGACCUUGUCUCUA